Mauremys mutica (yellowpond turtle) is the source of this 862-nucleotide long non-coding RNA. RefSeq lists it as uncharacterized. The record is from RefSeq and is a predicted model, not a curated record. The transcript has 4 exons. NCBI's taxonomy places the organism in Eukaryota, Metazoa, Chordata, Testudines, Geoemydidae.
UAGUGAAAAGUUUUAUUGUUUAUUUUGGGGUUGUCAGUUUGCAUGCAAGUAUUUGACCCCAACAUUUUAUUUCCAAUUAAUUAGUUUCCACGGUGACUAUGUUAUUGUGAUAGAAGACACUUAUAUGAAUAAUCUAUCUUGUAGGUACGAUAUUCCUGUCAUGGGGUCUGUAUAUCAUGUUCAGGUUCAACAGCUAAAGGAUUAACAAAGCAUCUGCCUUCCAGCUCAUCCAGAGCCACAACAGCUGUGCAGAUGAAAGGGCUGCAAAGCAGAAGAGUGUGGUGGCUGCUAGGAAGACUGGUGAGAAGAUGCCAGACAGACCAAUGCACCUAAGAAGGAGACACUGGGAAAGACUACAGAGGCAGGAAGCCCACAUUCCACCAUGAACAUCUGCUCUCUGGUUUACUUCCUGAAUCUGGAGUCCGUCCAAUAUAGCAGGAGCCACACCCCUUGGGGCUGUCUGUGACUGUGCCUACAUACAGACCUAGCCAGCCAGUGCAGUACCUCUGCUGCGGAACCUGUGAGAUAAUGAAACUGAAAGCAGAGGUCAUAAAGACAACCCCAAAAUCAGUGAUAGCCAAAGUAACCAGGAUUACAAAACAACCAUUCUCAAUGCUGGGGAAGACCAAAAUACAUAGAAGAAAACGGCCAUAUACGCCAUAGCACUGGGAUCAUGGAGCCCGCUCAAAUCACCGUGGCAAUUAUGAACACUGUAAACACAACGUGCAUUAUCCUGGAGUAUAUGCAGAACCAGAACCUGCAAAUGCAAAACCAGGUGAGGUGGCGACAGUAGUGCGGUGACGAGAGUAAUGGGGACAUAGACAUGGACAUAGACUUCUCACAAAAUACGGGCGCCGGCAAU